UACGAUGGUCGCGGCGCUGGUUCGCCCGACCUCGACAGGACGGGCGUCGUAAGAGGGAACCCGGUGAGAGUCCGGGACUGCCCCGCAGCGGUGAGUGGGAACGACCGCCGUCAACAGCACUGGGCGCACCUGCCUGGGAAGCGAUGGCCAGUAGGAGACCGGUACUGCCCGGUCACGCCCGCGAGUCCGAAGACCUGCCCGCGCCGCGUACACGAC
RNAcentral lists this non-coding RNA (216 nucleotides) under Micromonospora maris AB-18-032. RNAcentral also lists the same sequence under 1 other name. Lineage: Bacteria; Bacillati; Actinomycetota; Actinomycetes; Micromonosporales; Micromonosporaceae. The record is from RNAcentral.